CAACAGGGAUUGCCCUAGUAACGGCGAGUGAAGCGGCAACAGCUCAAAUUUGAAAUCUGGCGUCUUUGGCGUCCGAGUUGUAAUUUGCAGAGGGCGCUUUGGCAUUGGCAGCGGUCCAAGUUCCUUGGAACAGGACGUCACAGAGGGUGAGAAUCCCGUACGUGGUCGCUAGCCUUUACCGUGUAAAGCCCCUUCGACGAGUCGAGUUGUUUGGGAAUGCAGCUCUAAAUGGGAGGUAAAUUUCUUCUAAAGCUAAAUACUGGCCAGAGACCGAUAGCGCACAAGUAGAGUGAUCGAAAGAUGAAAAGCACUUUGGAAAGAGAGUUAAAAAGCACGUGAAAUUGUUGAAAGGGAAGCGCUUGCAGCCAGACUUGCCUGUAGUUGCUCAUCCGGGUUUUUACCCGGUGCACUCUUCUAUAGGCAGGCCAGCAUCAGUUUGGGCGGUUGGAUAAAGGUCUCUGUCACGUACCUCCUCUCGGGGAGAACUUAUAGGGGAGACGCAAUGCAACCAGCCUGGACUGAGGUCCGCGCAUCUGCUAGGAUGCUGGCGUAAUGGCUGUAAGCGGCCCGUCUUGAAACACGGACCAAGGAGUCUAACAUCUAUGCGAGUGUUUGGGUGUCAAGCCCGAGCGCGUAAUGAAAGUGAACGGAGGUGGGAACCUUUCGGGGUGCACCAUCGACCGAUCCUGAUGUCUUCGGAUGGAUUUGAGUAAGAGCAUAGCUGUUGGGACCCGAAAGAUGGUGAACUAUGCUUGAAUAGGGUGAAGCCAGAGGAAACUCUGGUGGAGGCUCGCAGCGGUUCUGACGUGCAAAUCGAUCGUCAAAUUUGGGCAUAGGGGCGAAAGACUAAUCGAAC
RNAcentral lists this ribosomal RNA (856 nucleotides) under Boeremia exigua. RNAcentral's name for it is "partial large subunit ribosomal RNA". It matches the Rfam family "Eukaryotic large subunit ribosomal RNA", at positions 66 to 940 of the family's 3401-position model. Lineage: Eukaryota; Fungi; Ascomycota; Dothideomycetes; Pleosporales; Didymellaceae. The record is from RNAcentral.